Molecule: non-coding RNA, 49 nt
Filed under: Trichobilharzia regenti
Lineage: Eukaryota; Metazoa; Platyhelminthes; Trematoda; Strigeidida; Schistosomatidae
Source: RNAcentral
GUACUGCUGAAGAGUCCCAAACUAGGUUAACGAAACAGUUGUCCAGUAC